UGUUAAAAUUUUCAUCAAUUUUAAUUGUUAAAAAUUGGCAUGACUAAUGAAAUAACCAGACUGUUACGCGUGCACCUUAUGCAUACUUUUAACAGUAAAAGUAGAUAAAAUUUUUAAGA
This is a non-coding RNA of Gossypium raimondii (Peruvian cotton), 119 nucleotides long. Lineage: Eukaryota; Viridiplantae; Streptophyta; Magnoliopsida; Malvales; Malvaceae. The record is from Rfam.